CUACAAAGGAAGUUGACGGGGGCCCGCACAAGCGGUGGAGCAUGUGGUUAAUUCGACGCAACGCGAAGAACCUUACCAGGGCUUGACAUCCCCUGACCGCGUAUGAAAGUACGUUUUCACCCUCGGGUGACAGGGAGACAGGUGGUGCAUGGUUGUCGUCAGCUCGUGUCGUGAGAUGUUGGGUUAAGUCCCGCAACGAGCGCAACCCCUACGUUUAGUUGCUAACGCGUGAAGGCGAGCACUCUAGACGAACUGCCGUUGACAAAACGGAGGAAGGUGGGGAUGACGUCAAAUCAUCAUGCCCCUUAUGUUCUGGGCUACACACGUGCUACAAUGGCCGGUACAGACGGACGCAAAGCCGCGAGGUGGAGCAAAUCCUAAAAAGCCGGUCUCAGUUCGGAUUGCAGGCUGCAAUUCGCCUGCAUGAAGUCGGAAUCGCUAGUAAUCGCAGGUCAGCAUACUGCGGUGAAUACGUUCCCGGGCCUU
This 486-nucleotide ribosomal RNA is filed under the name uncultured Pelotomaculum sp. RNAcentral's name for it is "bacterial SSU rRNA". It matches the Rfam family "Bacterial small subunit ribosomal RNA", at positions 903 to 1382 of the family's 1533-position model. The record is from RNAcentral. Lineage: Bacteria; Bacillati; Bacillota; Clostridia; Eubacteriales; Desulfotomaculaceae.